RNAcentral lists this long non-coding RNA (944 nucleotides) under Bos taurus (domestic cattle). RNAcentral's name for it is "long non-coding RNA NONBTAT020151". The record is from RNAcentral. Lineage: Eukaryota; Metazoa; Chordata; Mammalia; Artiodactyla; Bovidae.
CUGAUGUGUAACUUGUUUAUAUAUUUAGUGAAAAGCUACAUGUAUUUCCAAGUAUUCUAGUAGUAUACAAUUUAAUUUGGUAUUUAUAUACAUUGUUCAAGUAGCCAAAUAUCUAUGCUUUACUACUUAAAAAUCCUUUUAUCCUAGCUUAGUGAGCCCCCAUUGAGACACCCUGGUGCUAGAUGCGUUCGUUAGUGGAGUACAGUUUGCUCAGUUUCCUUACCCCUGACUUCAGCCUCAUCCCCAUUUCUCCUUUUUCCACUGGAAUAUAUUAUUCCAGAAUAAUAAACUAGAAAUAGACUAGGCUCUAACACUAUCUUCAGUGCUUGUACCUCGUGAUAAAUUAAUUAUCUGAUUUGUAAGAUACUUCCAAAAUGCACUUGGAUCUUGUGGAAUGACAGAGACCUCAUGUGGCCAACCUGAAUAAUUCACAUGUAUUGGCCUCCUGUGAAGCAAAGGAAUUGAGACUUGGGUGCCUCGCUCUGUGCUAAAGCUGACAGUAUUAACCUUUAGCAAGAUUGUCUUCUAGACCUGGUUUUCUUUAAAACUGAUAGAAAACAUUAGAAAGUUAAUACACUGAUUUAUCACAGAAAAGCAUGUUGUGUUUAGAGCUCAGUGUUUUAAGAUUAUAAAACUACAUUCAUCAGUGAAAUAUGUCUUGAACAUAAAUGAUUUGCCAACUUAUCUUUCUAGUGGAUCUCUUCACAUCUGCCUUAAAAGUGCUAUUUAGAGAUACAUUAAUAGAGUUUCAGAUAAUAAAACAGUUGUAAAAUCUAAUUUAUAAACAGAAACUAGUUUGAGACACAGUGCUAGAUUGUGAAUGAUACUUAAUGGCUCAAAAGCACUUAUAAAGCAGUGUGGUUCUGAUUUUGUUUUCUGAAUUAAACUCAGUGUCAUGUAAGGAGUUACCCUAUAAUUAUUCUUAACACAAGAUGAAAUUCAUU